RNAcentral lists this ribosomal RNA (467 nucleotides) under uncultured bacterium. RNAcentral describes it as "partial 16S ribosomal RNA". It matches the Rfam family "Bacterial small subunit ribosomal RNA", at positions 28 to 507 of the family's 1533-position model. The record is from RNAcentral.
GAUGAACGCUGGCGGCGUGCUUAACACAUGCAAGUCGAACGGAAAGGCCUCAGCUUGCUGGGGUGCUCGAGUGGCGAACGGGUGAGUAACACGUAGGGGAUCUGCCUUUCACUUCGGGAUAAGCUUGGGAAACUGGGUCUAAUACCGGAUAUUCACGGCACCGUGGUUGGUGUGGUGGAAAGCUUUUGCGGUGGGAGAUGAGCUUGCGGCCUAUCAGCUUGUUGGUGGGGUAAUGGCCUACCAAGGCGGCGACGGGUAGCCGGCCUGAGAGGGUGUGCGGCCACAUUGGGACUGAGGUACGGCCCAGCCUCCUACGGGAGGCAGCAGUGGGGAAUUUUGCACAAUGGGCGGAAGCCUGAUGCAGCGACGCCGUGUGGGGGAUGAAGGCCUUCGGGUUGUAGACUCCUUUCGUCAGGGACGAAGUUUGUUUGACGGUACCUGGAUAAGAAGCACCGGCUAACUACGUG